UAAGAUCAAAGUGCAACUAAGCUGUCAUAAGCUCAAGAUGUGCCUAAGACCCCCUUAAAGAUGAUCUUAGUACUUCUGAUUGAUUUAACUCCACGAAAGCUAAGGUACAAACUGGGAUUAGAUACCCCACUAUGCUUAGCCCUAAAUCUUGAUGCUCGCCUGUACUAAAGCAUCCGCCUGAGAACUACGAGCACAAACGCUUAAAACUCUAAGGACUUGGCGGUGCCCUAAACCCACCUAGAGGAGCCUGUUCUGUAAUCGAUAACCCACGUUACACCCGACCACCCCUUGCCAGAAACAGCCUACAUACCGCCGUCGCCAGCUCACCUCCCCUGAGAGUUCAAUAGUGAGCACAAUAGCUCAACCCGCUAACAAGACAGGUCGAGGUAUAGCCCACGGGGUGGAAGAAAUGGGCUACAUUUUCUAAUAGUAGAAAACCACACGGAAGGGGGUAUGAAACUGGCCCCCCGAAGGCGGAUUUAGUAGUAAAGCGGGAUAAUAUAUGCCUUCUUUAAAUCGGCCCUGGGGCACGUACAUACCGCCCGUCACCCUCC
This 554-nucleotide ribosomal RNA is filed under the name Gallinago gallinago (common snipe). RNAcentral describes it as "partial 12S ribosomal RNA". It matches the Rfam family "Bacterial small subunit ribosomal RNA", at positions 657 to 1405 of the family's 1533-position model. The record is from RNAcentral. Lineage: Eukaryota; Metazoa; Chordata; Aves; Charadriiformes; Scolopacidae.